RNAcentral lists this ribosomal RNA (461 nucleotides) under uncultured bacterium. RNAcentral describes it as "SSU rRNA". It matches the Rfam family "Bacterial small subunit ribosomal RNA", at positions 26 to 518 of the family's 1533-position model. The record is from RNAcentral.
AGAAUCAACGCUGGCGGCGUGCCUAACACAUGCAAGUCGAACGAGAAAGUGGAGCAAUCCACGAGUAAAGUGGCGCACGGGUGAGUAACACGUGACUAACCUACCCUUGAGUGGGGGAUAACCUAGGGAAACCUGGGCUAAUACCGCAUGAUACCUACGGGUCAAAGGAGCAAUUCGCUUAAGCGAGGGGGUCGCGGCCGAUUAGUUAGUUGGCGGGGUAAUGGCCCACCAAGACGAUGAUCGGUAUCCGGCCUGAGAGGGCGCACGGACACACUGGAACUGAAACACGGUCCAGACUCCUACGGGAGGCAGCAGUGGGGAAUUUUGCGCAAUGGGGGAAACCCUGACGCAGCAACGCCGCGUGGAGGAUGAAGUCCCUUGGGAUGUAAACUCCUUUCGAUCGGGACGAUUAUGACGGUACCGGAAGAAGAAGCCCCGGCUAACUUCGUGCCAGCAGCCGC